RNAcentral lists this ribosomal RNA (255 nucleotides) under uncultured bacterium. RNAcentral describes it as "partial 16S ribosomal RNA". It matches the Rfam family "Bacterial small subunit ribosomal RNA", at positions 524 to 776 of the family's 1533-position model. The record is from RNAcentral.
UACGUAGGGUGCGAGCGUUGUCCGGAAUUAUUGGGCGUAAAGAGCUUGUAGGUGGUUUGUCGCGUCUGCUGUGAAAACCCGAGGCUCAACCUCGGACUUGCAGUGGGUACGGGCAGACUAGAGUGUGGUAGGGGAGACUGGAAUUCCUGGUGUAGCGGUGGAAUGCGCAGAUAUCAGGAGGAACACCUGUGGCGAAGGCGGCCCCCCUGGGCCGGCCCUGACACUGGAGACGCGAAGGCGUGGGGAGCGAACGGG